This 253-nucleotide ribosomal RNA is filed under the name uncultured bacterium. RNAcentral describes it as "partial 16S ribosomal RNA". It matches the Rfam family "Bacterial small subunit ribosomal RNA", at positions 524 to 776 of the family's 1533-position model. The record is from RNAcentral.
GACGGGGGCUGCAAGCGUUAUCCGGAAUCACUGGGCGUAAAGCGUCUGUAGGCGGUGAUGCAAGUCACUGGUGCAAAACUCUGGCUCAACCGGAGGAAAGCCAGUGAAACUGCAUGACUAGAGUGUGGGAGAGGUAGAAGGAAUUCCCUGAGUAGCGGUGAAAUGCGUAGAUACAGGGAAGAACACCGGAGGCGAAAGCGUUAUACUAGAACACAACUGACACUGAGAGACGAAAGCUAGGGGAGCGAAUGGG